GAUGAACGCUGGCGGCGUGCUUAACACAUGCAAGUCGAACGGAAAGGCCCAAGCUUGCUUGGGUACUCGAGUGGCGAACGGGUGAGUAACACGUGGGUGAUCUGCCCUGCACUUCGGGAUAAGCCUGGGAAACUGGGUCUAAUACCGGAUAGGACGAUGGUUUGGAUGCCAUUGUGGAAAGUUUUUUCGGUGUGGGGUGAGCUCGCGGCCUAUCAGCUUGUUGGUGGGGUAAUGGCCUACCAAGGCGUCGACGGGUAGCCGGCCUGAGAGGGUGUACGGCCACAUUGGGACUGAGAUACGGCCCAGACUCCUACGGGAGGCAGCAGUGGGGAAUAUUGCACAAUGGGCGCAAGCCUGAUGCAGCGACGCCGCGUGGGGGAUGACGGCCUUCGGGUUGUAAACUCCUUUCGCUAGGGACGAAGCGUUUUUGUGACGGUACCUGGAGAAGAAGCACCGGCUAACUACGUG
RNAcentral lists this ribosomal RNA (468 nucleotides) under uncultured bacterium. RNAcentral describes it as "partial 16S ribosomal RNA". It matches the Rfam family "Bacterial small subunit ribosomal RNA", at positions 28 to 507 of the family's 1533-position model. The record is from RNAcentral.